AGCUCCAAUAGCGUAUAUUAAAGUUGUUGCAGUUAAAAAGCUCGUAGUUGGAUUUGUGGUUGUCGCUGGCCGUUCUUCACUCUGUGUUGAAUGGGCUGGCGUCGCCAUCCUUGGGUGGAUCCUGUGUGGCAUUAGGUUGUCGUGCAGGGGAUGCCCAUCGUUUACUGUGAAAAAAUUAGAGUGUUCAAAGCAGGCUUAUGCCGUUGAAUAUAUUAGCAUGGAAUAAUAAGAUAGGACCUUGGUACUAUUUUGUUGGUUUGCGCACCAAGGUAAUGAUUAAUAGGGACAGUUGGGGGUAUUCGUAUUCCAUUGUCAGAGGUGAAAUUCUUGGAUUUCUGGAAGACGAACUACUGCGAAAGCAUUUACCAAGGAUGUUUUCAUUAAUCAAGAACGAAAGUAC
This 400-nucleotide ribosomal RNA is filed under the name phytoplankton environmental sample. RNAcentral's name for it is "partial small subunit ribosomal RNA". It matches the Rfam family "Eukaryotic small subunit ribosomal RNA", at positions 587 to 992 of the family's 1831-position model. The record is from RNAcentral.